AUCACUUUAUAUUUCGUAUAAAUUCUGCUUAUUCUUUUUCAAAAAUAACGAAAUAAUUAAAUUUACCUCUACCUAACCUCUACAUUCUCUAGGUAAGCAUUGAUGUAAGAUGAAUAAAUUUAGAACUGUUUUUAACAAUUUUAAUAAAGGAAAAUAUAAAAAUCAUGAUAAUAUUGUUUCGAGAUGAACAAUCUCUUAGGAUUAUCGAAAAGGUUAAACAUAUUUCUCUCGCGAUAAAAAAGAAAGGAAAGAGUUUCCCUAGUAAUUAUACAUUUGCGAAACAAUAGCUCGUCUAGAAAGCAUUGUCAACCGACAUGGUUGCAAAACACAAGGUUGAAACACGUACAUCUUGCUAAUAAUUUCAGUUACACAAUUUCUAGGGUACAAUCCAUUGCAACAUCGUGUUAUUCGAUAUAUGACGUGCAUAUACGUGAACUGUGCUGUGCGAUUGUAUGAUAUAUGUUUUUCUUUUCAUGCAAAUGGACCAGCCUUCGUGUGGAAUGCUCGAAGCAAUCUUUUGUUCUUCUUUUUUUUUUUAUUAUCGAUAUAAAUAUGCUUGGAUUAAGUUGAAGAUCACGUAUCAUAAUCAAAUUAUGAAAAAAUAUACGAGUGGAUAUAUUUAAAGAUUCUUGGAUGAAUAUUUUAAUCUAUGAGAAAGAAAGUAUAUAAAAAGGUGUAUACAAAAUGGAUGAUGAUAUAUCAUGGAAUUUGAAAAAAAUUGUUAUCAUAAAUUAUUUGUGAAUAUCAGAAAUAGAAAAACUCGUGGAAAAUAAAUCUCAGAAUAAAUUAAUUUCUAAAAAUUAUUCACUGUUGAACAAAUUAAUCAAGAUUAUAUUAAAGAAAUCUUCAAAUGAUAAUUUAUUUAUGACAUAAUAAUCUAUCAGAGAUUUAUUUUAGCAUAUCUAUUUUUAUAUGAAAACAUGUAAUAUGAAAAAAAAAAAUCAUUAUUGGAAAUUUACAUUCCCAAUAAAAAGGAAAAAAGUGAAUCGAGGCAACAAAGAACAACAAAAUUAUCGGAAAUUUUCAAAGUUGAGCAAAGAAAGCAAUACAAUCACACAAAAAAUUAUUUUACAAAACGAAAUUUAUCUACAAAUUGCUGUGAACAUUAUAAAAAUGUGAUUGAAAAAUUAAAUAUAGAUGACGAAUAAUUGACAGAUUAAAACACGAGGAAAAGUGAAUUCUUCGAAUCUCUAUCUUUAAAAGAUUUUCAUGAUAAACGAUUCGAUGUUCGGGGAUAGAAACGGAACGAGAGUGUCCUAUGAAUGUUGGGACAUUGUUCACGCACUGUCGCUAUCUAAUUAACCUAAUUGCAGGCAUACGUGUUAUCAGUCAAAGAAACCGGUAGACUUUAUGACGCGUAAAUUCCAUCGAGGUUAUCGCUUCGUUUCCUUUCAUGUCCCGUUUAUUUUCUACCAUCACACCAAUUGACUUACGUAUUUUUCUCAUUUUCCUCUUUUAAAAUUCUUUUUCACCUAAUCGAUUCGAACAUCAUCCAUAUUUCUCGAGCCAUAUGUUGAUUAAAUAAAUUUUAUCGCUUUAAAUUAUCAAUAUUUGAUGUUUUAAAAAAAAUAGUUUA
This 1576-nucleotide long non-coding RNA is filed under the name Apis mellifera (honey bee). RNAcentral's name for it is "uncharacterized LOC113219344". Lineage: Eukaryota; Metazoa; Arthropoda; Insecta; Hymenoptera; Apidae. The record is from RNAcentral.